CCCUUCCUGCACAAAAGUGUCCUGCUAUAAGAUGCCUCAUUGUGCCUUAUGGCUUGGUGAAGAUGUCUGGUGACAGUUAGGAUUGUGCAUGGGAAGGAGAGGAAGGCUCGUCCCUCCAUAGCUCCUUCAGGACCUCUUUCCUAAUGUCCCAUUGAGGUUGAGCUCAGUAGGGAAGAUACACUCAUAGUUUAGUUAGUAGUUGAGGUGAACAUGUAAUUGCAGUUACUUGGACAAUUAAUUAAGAGUAAAUAGAUCUGAGUUUUCAUUUUGUAAUUGUAGCAUUCUGGGAUUGCAGUUGCUGUUAUCAAGAGAGAGGUGGAUGAUCACCUUAUCUAUUAAUGUGUCUGUACAUUUUUCAGAAAUUGAUUUUAUCACGUGAGGAUUGCCUAGGUAAUAUGAUAUUGUUUGGGUAUUGUUAAUGGUUGUGCUUAAUAUAUUGAAAGCAAGUUAGGAAGGUGCAGCAAAAUAUUCUAAGUUAAGUGAAGAUUCUAACUUAAAUUGGUGAACCAGUAUAGUAGAUAUACAUUUAUGAAAAAUUUACUCUGCUUUUAAAAAUGAACAGUAUAGCAGAACUUCAGGUAGUGGUGACAUUGUGAAUUUUAACCCAAAAAAGUUGAUUUACAUAAUUUGAAUGAGUAAUUGAGCACAUGAAUGUUUAGGAAUUUAUUACUGAAUUUUUUUUUUUUUUUAGAUAAUUGACUUUGGCCAUUUAGUCUUGUCCCUUAACUUAAUUUACUAAGAAACUCUGCUUCUUUUGAUUAAAGAUAAGGUCCGCUAGAUGUUUUAAAGGGAAGAGUAAUGCCCUUUCUUCAAUAGCUUGCUUCAAAACAUUUGAUGUCGGCUAGAUGUUUUAAAGGGAAGAGUAAUGCCUUUCCUUUAAUUGCUUGCUUCAAAACAUUUGAUGUCCAGUGGAGUAAGUUUAAUCGGGAAGGUACGGUGCAUUAAGGAGGGUAUGGUGUAAUGAUGGAUACUGUACGAACUUGCAUUGACUUAUGAAAUUUUAAUUGUUUUAUAAUUUUUAUUUAUUUUUUUUAUUUUUUUUGUAGGAAGUUAUAAAAAUUUAACAGGAAACCAGCUUAUUAAUCAUUUCAAGUGUCCAGUUGAGUGGGAUUUUUUUUUGCUUGGUUUCGGCUGUAACCCAAGUAUUAAUGAGCAUUCGGCUAGUUGAUGAAGGAAGAACCAGUAUAGUUGAAGAUAGGUUGUCAAAUUGACUCUACUGGUCAUCUACAUAUCAUUUAUAGACUCAACAUCAUUUGCAUAUUUACCUGAAAGUGUGGCAGUUUAAUGCAAAGAAAUCCUAAUUUGCUAAUGAGUAAACAUUGAAAUGAAGGUUGGCUGUUUAUCCCACACCUUAGACAGUGCUCCUCAAAAGCCAAGAAUUGUGUGUAAGAAUUUUACUUCCUUUUACUGUCACUGAUGUGUUGCUUCAUAAAAUGUGUAUGAAGGUAACUAUGAAAGGAAGGAGAUUAUAAGUUCAUCUUUAGAUAGCUCAACCACAUGAGUUUAAAUGUGGAUAGAUGAGUUCAGAUGGGAUGGUACACAGUACAGGGCUGUUACAUUGACUUGUGAAAUAUUUUGUGCUUAAUAUUGUAGAUAAAAUAUUCUGUGCAUAUUCCUUGAAGGGUCUGGUAACAUGUUUAUCACCUAUCAACAUUGCUCCCAUAUUUUUCAUCUGUUCAAUUAGGGGUCCUCUUGAGUUUCUGUAAUCUAUUCCUGAAAAAGGUGACAAAUAUAUAUAUUAGGUAGACUGUAGUAUAAAUGCUUGAUUGUCAUGCCAUUCACUGUUGUUGUCUGGAUCCAUUAUAGUAGAUGUAUGGACAUACUCUUACCUCCUUCAACAUUUCAAGGGUAAUCUAGAGAAUAAGAUGUCAGUAUUUAGUUUGUUUCCCUAUCCCAAGGAUGUCUGUGGCAUUUGCACCGAGGUUAAAUUUAUAAAUAAAUAGCUUUAUUUGAAAUGCUAAGGAUUUCUUAAUAAAUUUUGACCAUUGCAGGUGGCGUCUCUUUUAGUCAUAGCCAAGUAAAAUUAGGAUUUAUGAAAAUUGGCAAAAAAAAAAAAAAAAACAGGAUUUAUGAAAGUGUGUGUUUGCUACUAUGGGAGUGUUUAACAAGCCCGGAGCACUGAGUAACAAUUGAAGAUUUUUUUCUCAGUUUGUACCUGCAGCAUCAUCUGAACUAUAUUUUACAUUUAAUUCAUUUUAAUCUUGUAAAAUUAUUAAAUUUGGUCUUUUGCAGGUUGGACAUUAUUUUUCUGUGAGCAGUUGUUGUAGUUGUGUUCAAGUUCUAAGAAGUUCUGCGUUGUAUAAUAAGGUGUAGAGUGGUGAUUCUGCGUUGGAUAAGAGGAAGUAGUGGAAGAUGUUCAGUCUUGAAAAUAAAAGCGUGGUGAUCCUGCUUUGGGUAAGAGGAAGUAGUGGAAGAUGUUCCGUCUUAAAAAUAAAAGCGGGUGUUCCUACUGUGGAUAAAAGGAAGUCUGACAAAUGUUCCAUCUAGAAAAGACUAUUAAAUCUAGAGGGUGUUUCUGCCAUGGAUUAAAGGAAGAAGUCUGGCAUAUGUUCCAUCUUGAGAAAAGAUUAUAUAAUCUAGAGUUGGCCUUCCAAGAAACAUCCCAGGUUGAAGAAUAAUACCAGUUGACAGGAAACAAGAAGUCAAGAGUGCAGUCUUGGCAGUUGUUAUAUGAGGUGUAGAAAAACAUCCAAAGGAGUGUAGCAGUAAGAGGAUUGGUUUUGGCUUCAGUUAAUGUGCCACUGGUUUCUGAUGGGAGUCUUGCACAUGCUGCUACAUCUAUUCUAGACAAAGAUGGUCAGCUGCUUACAAUGAGUGAGCUAUACACAUGAUCUAUUGUAGUACAGCUGUCCUCGAGUUAAAGGAGAUUGGUUACCUUGUGUAGGCCUUCAACAAAUUGAUGUCUGCAGAGGUCUUAUCAUUGGGCAAAUGGUUAAUGGACGUAUGCAGAAAUGAUUCUCAGGGAUGAGUGUAGCUGCUGUAAGUUGGGAAGGUUGGAUCAUCCUGGCAGACAACUCUUAAAAGUUGACAACUGGGGAAAUAGCAGCAUCAGAAGGGCCAUACAAUAAGGAAACAGCCUGGUUAUG
This is a long non-coding RNA of Macrobrachium nipponense, 3086 nucleotides long. RefSeq lists it as uncharacterized. NCBI's taxonomy places the organism in Eukaryota, Metazoa, Arthropoda, Malacostraca, Decapoda, Palaemonidae. The record is from RefSeq and is a predicted model, not a curated record. The transcript has 12 exons.